Molecule: ribosomal RNA, 796 nt
Filed under: uncultured archaeon
Lineage: Archaea
Description: bacterial SSU rRNA
Rfam family: Archaeal small subunit ribosomal RNA
Source: RNAcentral
ACUGCUCAGUAACACGUGGAUAACCUGCCCUUGGGUCCGGCAUAACCCCGGGAAACUGGGGAUAAUUCCGGAUAACGCACAUAUGCUGGAAUGCUUUAUGCGUAAAAUGGAUUCGUCUGCCCAAGGAUGGGUCUGCGGCCUAUCAGGUAGUAGUGGGUGUAAUGUACCUACUAGCCAACAACGGGUACGGGUUGUGAGAGCAAGAGCCCGGAGAUGGAUUCUGAGACAUGAAUCCAGGCCCUACGGGGCGCAGCAGGCGCGAAAACUUUACAAUGCGGGAAACCGUGAUAAGGGGACACCGAGUGCCAGCAUCAUAUGCUGGCUGUCCGGGUGUGUAAAAUACACCCGUUAGCAAGGGCCGGGCAAGACCGGUGCCAGCCGCCGCGGUAACACCGGCGGCCCGAGUGGUGAUCGUGAUUAUUGGGUCUAAAGGGUCCGUAGCCGGUUUGGUCAGUCCUCCGGGAAAUCUGACGGCUCAACCGUUAGGCUUUCGGGGGAUACUGCCAGGCUUGGAACCGGGAGAGGUAAGAGGUACUACAGGGGUAGGAGUGAAAUCUUGUAAUCCCUGUGAGACCACCUGUGGCGAAGGCGUCUUACCAGAACGGGUUCGACGGUGAGGGACGAAAGCUGGGGGCACGAACCGGAUUAGAUACCCGGGUAGUCCCAGCCGUAAACGAUGCUCGCUAGGUGUCAGGCAUGGCGCGACCGUGUCUGGUGCCGCAGGGAAGCCGUGAAGCGAGCCACCUGGGAAGUACGGCCGCAAGGCUGAAACUUAAAGGAAUUGGCGGGGGAGCAC